GACGAACGCUGGCGGCAUGCCUAACACAUGCAAGUCGAACGAGAAAGUUCNUUCGGGAGCAAUUAAAGUGGCGCACGGGUGAGUAACGCGUAGACAAUCUGCCCUUCAGUCUGGGACAACUUUUCGAAAGGAGAGCUAAUACCGGAUAACAAUGCAUGACACAAGUUGUAUAUUUGAAAGCUUUAUGUGCUGAAGGAGGGGUCUGCGUCCCAUUAGCUAGUUGGUAAGGUAAAGGCUUACCAAGGCAACGAUGGGUAGCGGGUUUGAGAGGACGAUCCGCCACACUGGAACUGAGACACGGUCCAGACUCCUACGGGAGGCAGCAGUGGGGAAUAUUGCACAAUGGAGGAAACUCUGAUGCAGCAAUGUCGCGUGAGUGAAGAAGGCCCUUGGGUCGUAAAGCUCUUUUAUGGGGGAAGAUGAUGACGGUACCCCAAGAAUAAGCACCGGCUAACUAUGUGCCAGCAGCCGCGGUAAUACAUAGGGUGCGAGCGUUGUUCGGAAUUACUGGGCGUAAAGGGCGCGCAGGCGGAAUAGUAAGUCGGAGGUGAAAGCCCGGGGCUCAACCCCGGAGGGUCUUUCGAAACUGCUAAUCUAGAGAGGGUCAGGGGCCGGCAGAAUUCCUGGUGUAGAGGUGAAAUUCGUAGAUAUCAGGAGGAAUACCGGUGGCGAAGGCGGCCGGCUGGGGCCACUCUGACGCUGAGGCGCGAAAGCGUGGGGAGCAAACAGGAUUAGAUACCCUGGUAGUCCACGCCGUAAACGAUGAGCACUGGACGUCCGGAGGGUUCGACCCUUCUGGGUGUCUCAGCUAACGCAUUAAGUG
RNAcentral lists this ribosomal RNA (823 nucleotides) under uncultured bacterium. Its description in RNAcentral is "bacterial SSU rRNA". It matches the Rfam family "Bacterial small subunit ribosomal RNA", at positions 28 to 866 of the family's 1533-position model. The record is from RNAcentral.